RNAcentral lists this ribosomal RNA (403 nucleotides) under uncultured bacterium. Its description in RNAcentral is "partial 16S ribosomal RNA". It matches the Rfam family "Bacterial small subunit ribosomal RNA", at positions 30 to 526 of the family's 1533-position model. The record is from RNAcentral.
AUUGAACGCUAGCGGGAUGCUUUACACAUGCAAGUCGAACGAGCGGCGGACGGGUGAGUAAUGUAUGGGGACUGCCCGAUAGAGGGGGAUAACUACUGGAAACGGUAGCUAAUACCGCAUACUAUCGGAUAACCCAUAUGGGAUUAGCUAGUAGGUGAGGUAAUGGCCCACCUAGGCGACGAUCCCUCGCUGGUCUGAGAGGAUGAUCAGCCACACUGGGCCUGUGAAGCGGCCCAGACUCCUACGGAGGCAGCAGUGGUGAAUAUUGCACAAGGGGCGCAAGCCUGAUGCAGCCAUGCCGCGUGUAGUAAGAAGGCCCUAGGGUUGUAAAGUACUUUCAGUCGGGAGGCGUUACCGACAGAAGAAGCACCGGCUAACUCCGUGCCAGCAGCCGCGGUAAUUC